This is a long non-coding RNA of Tetranychus urticae (two-spotted spider mite), 1884 nucleotides long. RefSeq lists it as uncharacterized. The record is from RefSeq and is a predicted model, not a curated record. Lineage: Eukaryota; Metazoa; Arthropoda; Arachnida; Trombidiformes; Tetranychidae.
UAAUGGGAAAUAAUAGAAGCAAAGUGAAAUACUAAAUAUAAAUCAGCAAUCUAUAUUUAAAUCACAAAAUGUAAGAAAUCAAAAACUAGAAUUAAAAAAGCAAUGGUUAAAAAUUGAAAAAAACAAACCAGUAAAUGAAAUAAAAUCACCAGAAAAAGCUAAAUCGAGGGAAAUUGAGGGAAAGUUAAGUAAGUACAAUCUGGUAACUCUUAUGUGUGUACAAAAAUUACUCAACAAGUUUGCCAUUUUUUUUUCUUUUGAUUGUUCACUAAAUAAAUAAAAAUAAAUUACAAUUAAACACUUUGGCUUCCUGCAGGUAACCUGUUUCAACUAUAAUCAAGUUAAAUGAACAAAAUCAGUCAAGUGUGAUGAUGAUGAAAGUACAAUAAGUGUAAAUUACUGUACCAUUAAUUUCAUCGUUAGGCUGAUAUUUUUUUUUCUUGGUUACACUGCUUAAAAAGGAAACCAAAAAUGGCGCUCAAAAAAACCAAACUCUUCUAGUUUUAUCUUAUUGGUUAAAGGCUUUUACAAUGAUAAUAUCAGAUUAAGUUACUCAUUGAUAUUGAAACUCUUGGCUUUUUUUACCCACUUUUUCAUCUCUUUUUUCUCUUGUCUUGUUAUUCUUGACUAACCUGAGUUUUACCAAGAUAACCUUGGAACUCAGUGAAACCAGAAUUUUUGUUUUAUGUGUAUUUAUUCAUACUGUGAAUGGUUCAAAAAGAUAAGUAUUACUCUUUCUUGGCAUCAAAUCAUUUAGACUUUGCUACCUUAAUAUCGUUUACCUGUUUUAUCUAUAUUUCUUCUGGUAUUACAAUCAUUAGCCAAAGAUUCGCAUUCCUAAUGGUUGCAACAAUUAUUAUCACGAUGGUCACUCAAAAAUGUUUAUUAUUUCAUCAAGAAUUAUCAUGAUUUUAAAUUACUCCGUUCCUGGUUAUUCUGGUUCUGCACCAACAGAGUUUACAAAAACAAAGCUCAUUUUGAAACAUUGUUUCUUAAAGAUUUAGAGGUUUUCAACAAUAAGAUAUGCAAAGUCUUGGUCAACCGGAAUAUUUAGGACAAAAGUGAUAGGCAAUUUGCUGUAAAACAAGUUUGAAAUGGCGAUUAAGACAGUGUUAUCCGAGAAAGGCAGCUUUUAUUGUUAUUUUGUUUCUGGGUGCGUCAAAUUCCAUUGGUGUUGGAAGGAUUGAACCAGAGUUUUUGAUUGAAUAACAAUUGAGAUGGACAAAUGUAAAUGCAAAUUACCAAGUAAAUUGAAAUGGAUUGGCAGUACAUAAUUGGGAAAAAGACAGGAGAAAGAGUCUCAAUUUUUCAUCCUUGAACUUGAUCUUCAAACAAUACACUGUGAACUUGAUGAAGGAAGAGAUAGAAACGAGUAAUCAACGCAAAAAGGAGAAAAAAGGAGAAAAUGAAAGGAAAGGAGGAAAGAGAAGAUAAGAAGAGAAAGGAAAGAAAAGAAGAAAAAAGUUGGUUACUAUUGAAAAUACAACAAAUCGUUAUUUCGUUAUCAUUACAAUUGCUCAGUUACACAAUCAGAAUUAUUAUUAUUCAGCUGAAUGAAACAAAAGUGAAUAAGAGGGAGAAAUGGAGAGACAGGCAAGAGAGGAAAAAGGAUGAUAAGAAUGAUGAUAAAUAUUGCAGAAAGUGAAAGUAAAAAAAGUUGUUUGAAAGAGAAGAGAGAAAGUGAAAUUUUUCUUUUGCGUGAGUCUCAGUUGAAAUUAGGACAGCAAAUACGUUGAUUAAGGUGAGAAGGAAAGUGAAUAGGAUGAUGAUGAUGAUUAAGAAGGAGGAAAGCGGAUUGUGAACACUUGAAUCUGUCUAGGUGUGGUUCCUAAAAAUGGAUGAAUUGUAUUGAAAAGUGAGAUUAAAAUGGAAACAACAAAAGCA